Molecule: long non-coding RNA, 206 nt
Filed under: Gossypium barbadense (sea-island cotton)
Lineage: Eukaryota; Viridiplantae; Streptophyta; Magnoliopsida; Malvales; Malvaceae
Description: long non-coding RNA (GBAR_LNC005314)
Source: RNAcentral
UAAAAUGAGUAAAACUCCAUUUUGACAGAAUAAAUGUUAACAAGACAAAACUCACAAAAUAAAAAGAGAUAAUGAUGGAACUUACUCAACUAUCGCACAAUUGGCAUAACAAGCAUCAAAGAAUUCCCAAUUAACAUAGAAUCAAGUAGCAACAAGCAAAAAUAAAAGAAAGAAAGAAAAGAAUGAACUAAGAACUUAGAAAAAAA